GGCUUCACAGCUCAGCUGGUGGAGCAUGGGCUUAGAAAAGCUUAGGCGGAAUCCAUGCGUGGGUUCGAAUUCCACUGAGGCUA
RNAcentral lists this transfer RNA (83 nucleotides) under Echinostoma caproni. It matches the Rfam family "tRNA". From Rfam's summary of the family: Transfer RNA (tRNA) molecules are approximately 80 nucleotides in length. The record is from Rfam by way of RNAcentral. Lineage: Eukaryota; Metazoa; Platyhelminthes; Trematoda; Plagiorchiida; Echinostomatidae.